UUCCUUUUGCAAAUACACUUCAAAGCUUUAAGUAAUAUAUUCCAAAUGUCCCCAAUCCUUUGAUUUACAAGAGAGACCACUAAUUGCAUAUACAAAAGCUAAUACUAUGUACCUAUAAACAUAUAUAGGAGAGUUUAAAUUUACACUAUUAUCUUUAUUUAAAAUGUGUCAUGUCACAUGCAACAUGUUGCCUGCCCUAUUUUUCAGGUAGCUAGUUCUGCUUAUUACAGAUCGUUACCCAUUCUGAAACAACGUGCAUUAGAGCGUACAUAAAAAUUCUUUUACACUGUCAGCGUACAUUCGUACCAACAAUGUUUUUGUUUUGAAAAGAAUGACCAAUACCAGGGCUGUGAUCUUUGAGAUCAUCAAAUCUUCCUUUAGGCCUUGAAGCAGGGGAAUUUUCUUUUUUUCUUGUGAAUUGAAAAUGAUUUGUUUUUUCUUCAUACCUUUGCUUUGAGUUGAUAACAACUUGACUUGGGAUUUGAGUUGAAUCAAACUUGUCUUUCUUCAAUGUUUUUAGUUGUCUUCCUUCAGUAAAUAGAACUUGAUGGCAAGCAAUAAGUGCAAGAAGGAAAGUAAAU
Molecule: long non-coding RNA, 581 nt
Filed under: Solanum tuberosum (potato)
Lineage: Eukaryota; Viridiplantae; Streptophyta; Magnoliopsida; Solanales; Solanaceae
Description: long non-coding RNA (STUB_LNC003463)
Source: RNAcentral